This 75-nucleotide transfer RNA is filed under the name Priestia megaterium. Its description in RNAcentral is "Bacillus megaterium tRNA-Gln". It matches the Rfam family "tRNA". From Rfam's summary of the family: Transfer RNA (tRNA) molecules are approximately 80 nucleotides in length. The record is from RNAcentral. Lineage: Bacteria; Bacillati; Bacillota; Bacilli; Caryophanales; Bacillaceae.
UGGGUUAUACCCAAGUGGUAAGAUAACGAACUUUGACUCCGUUAUGCGUUGGUUCGAAUCCAGCUAACCCAGUCA